RNAcentral lists this transfer RNA (64 nucleotides) under Cavia porcellus (domestic guinea pig). It matches the Rfam family "tRNA", at positions 1 to 62 of the family's 71-position model. Rfam says of the family: Transfer RNA (tRNA) molecules are approximately 80 nucleotides in length. Their secondary structure includes four short double-helical elements and three loops (D, anti-codon, and T loops). Further hydrogen bonds mediate the characteristic L-shaped molecular structure. tRNAs have two regions of fundamental functional importance: the anti-codon, which is responsible for specific mRNA codon recognition, and the 3' end, to which the tRNAs corresponding amino acid is attached (by aminoacyl-tRNA synthetases). tRNAs cope with the degeneracy of the genetic code in two manners: having more than one tRNA (with a specific anti-codon) for a particular amino acid; and 'wobble' base-pairing, i.e. permitting non-standard base-pairing at the 3rd anti-codon position. Lineage: Eukaryota; Metazoa; Chordata; Mammalia; Rodentia; Caviidae. The record is from Rfam by way of RNAcentral.
GGGGAUUUAGCUCAGUGGUAUAAGUGCCUGCGUUGCAAGCAGGCAGUCAUGAGUUCAAUCCCCA